UAAGGGCAAGGAAAUAAACAGAGCACGUGAGGGAGGAAAACACAACACGAGACAUGGAACAGAGCCUGACACAAAGGAUGAGGCUGUGAAGAAUCAGUGGUUAAAAUUCAUCUUUACUAAGGUAUAACAGCAGUAUAAUCACAACUUUUUUGCUGUGUUCUUGUCAUUUCACUGACGACUGCUUCUUCAAUCUCCACGAGUUCAAUGCGGGAUUCGUAAACCGGUUGUCUUUGAAAGAUGGGUCAGUGCCCAGUUUGUUUGGAACAGUUUGCUCCUCCGAAUCACAACCUCUAAGUAUGAUUAAUAAUUGUUACUUUGAUGUUCUGUCGUGCAGCAUUCUGUCGAGAUGUUCAACUUACAGUGCAGCUGUAAGUCUCUGGCUAACUCAUGUUGUAGUUCUGCUAAUCUGCUGUGGGCCUGCUAUUGUCUAGAAAUGUGUAGAUUAAUACAGUACAAAUGUCUGUUGUACUUGGAGUCAUAAUAAAGGAUGGAGCAAUACGCUGGUUUAGAAAUUGCAGUGCUUUAUCAGUACUCUUUUGUCUGUGAUCUGUGGGUCCGGUUCGCUAACAUAAGAGUAAAACUUUUUCGCCUCUGAUUCCUUCUUUUUAGAACAGAGUGGAGCACUAUAAUUAUUAUAAUAGGAUAUAUUUUCUAUACAUAUGCAUUA
Molecule: long non-coding RNA, 667 nt
Organism: Sinocyclocheilus anshuiensis
Lineage: Eukaryota; Metazoa; Chordata; Actinopteri; Cypriniformes; Cyprinidae
Exons: 3
Source: RefSeq, a predicted model, not a curated record